AACGGAAAGGCCCUGCUUGCAGGGUACUCGAGUGGCGAACGGGUGAGUAACACGUGGGUGAUCUGCCCUGCACUUCGGGAUAAGCUUGGGAAACUGGGUCUAAUACCGGAUAGGAGCCAUCUUUAGUGUGGUGGUUGGAAAGUUUUUUCGGUGUAGGAUGAGCUCGCGGCCUAUCAGCUUGUUGGUGGGGUAAUGGCCUACCAAGGCGGCGACGGGUAGCCGGCCUGAGAGGGUGUACGGCCACAUUGGGACUGAGAUACGGCCCAGACUCCUACGGGAGGCAGCAGUGGGGAAUAUUGCACAAUGGGCGCAAGCCUGAUGCAGCGACGCCGCGUGGGGGAUGAAGGCCUUCGGGUUGUAAACUCCUUUCGCUAGGGACGAAGCUUUGUGUGACGGUACCUAGAUAAGAAGCACCGGCUAACUACGUGCCAGCAGCCGCGGUAAUACGUAGGGUGCGAGCGUUGUCCGGAAUUACUGGGCGUAAAGGGCUCGUAGGUGGUUUGUCGCGUCGUCUGUGAAAUUCUGGGGCUUAACUCCGGGCGUGCAGGCGAUACAGGCAUAACUUGAGUGCUGUAGGGGUAACUGGAAUUCCUGGUGUAGCGGUGAAAUGCGCAGAUAUCAGGAGGAACACCGAUGGCGAAGGCAGGUUACUGGGCAGUUACUGACGCUGAGGAGCGAAAGCAUGGGUAGCGAACAGGAUUAGAUACCCUGGU
Molecule: ribosomal RNA, 713 nt
Filed under: uncultured Corynebacterium sp.
Lineage: Bacteria; Bacillati; Actinomycetota; Actinomycetes; Mycobacteriales; Corynebacteriaceae
Description: bacterial SSU rRNA
Rfam family: Bacterial small subunit ribosomal RNA
Source: RNAcentral